GACGAACGCUGGCGGCGUGCUUAACACAUGCAAGUCGAACGGAAAGGCCCUGCUUUUGUGGGGUGCUCGAGUGGCGAACGGGUGAGUAACACGUGAGUAACCUGCCCUUGACUUUGGGAUAACUUCAGGAAACUGGGGCUAAUACCGGAUAGGAUCUCCUGCUGCAUGGUGGUGGUUGGAAAGUUUCGGCGGUUGGGGAUGGACUCGCGGCUUAUCAGCUUGUUGGUGGGGUAGUGGCUUACCAAGGCUUUGACGGGUAGCCGGCCUGAGAGGGUGACCGGCCACAUUGGGACUGAGAUACGGCCCAGACUCCUACGGGAGGCAGCAGUGGGGAAUAUUGCACAAUGGGCGGAAGCCUGAUGCAGCAACGCCGCGUGCGGGAUGACGGCCUUCGGGUUGUAAACCGCUUUCGCCUGUGACGAAGCGUGAGUGACGGUAAUGGGUAAAGAAGCACCGGCUAACUACGUG
RNAcentral lists this ribosomal RNA (468 nucleotides) under uncultured bacterium. RNAcentral's name for it is "partial 16S ribosomal RNA". It matches the Rfam family "Bacterial small subunit ribosomal RNA", at positions 28 to 507 of the family's 1533-position model. The record is from RNAcentral.